RNAcentral lists this ribosomal RNA (275 nucleotides) under Escherichia coli. RNAcentral's name for it is "partial 16S ribosomal RNA". It matches the Rfam family "Bacterial small subunit ribosomal RNA", at positions 1 to 270 of the family's 1533-position model. Lineage: Bacteria; Pseudomonadati; Pseudomonadota; Gammaproteobacteria; Enterobacterales; Enterobacteriaceae. The record is from RNAcentral.
UUAAAUUGAAGAGUUUGAUCAUGGCUCAGAUUGAACGCUGGCGGCAGGCCUAACACAUGCAAGUCGAACGGUAACAGGAAGCAGCUUGCUGCUUUGCUGACGAGUGGCGGACGGGUGAGUAAUGUCUGGGAAACUGCCUGAUGGAGGGGGAUAACUACUGGAAACGGUAGCUAAUACCGCAUAACGUCGCAAGACCAAAGAGGGGGACCUUCGGGCCUCUUGCCAUCGGAUGUGCCCAGAUGGGAUUAGCUUGUUGGUGGGGUAACGGCUCACCU